UGUGUGCUGGAGGAUGAAAAUAACGAGUGAUCCAUCGGCUAAGUGUCUUACCACUAUGCUGAAACUCACAUUGCUGACAGCAUACA
Jaculus jaculus (lesser Egyptian jerboa) is the source of this 86-nucleotide small nucleolar RNA. Ensembl annotates it as small nucleolar RNA, C/D box 71. Its record names the gene Snord71. Lineage: Eukaryota; Metazoa; Chordata; Mammalia; Rodentia; Dipodidae. The record is from Ensembl.